UCGAAUGACGUUAGGGUGACAGGGUGCGU
Molecule: non-coding RNA, 29 nt
Filed under: Mus musculus (house mouse)
Lineage: Eukaryota; Metazoa; Chordata; Mammalia; Rodentia; Muridae
Source: RNAcentral